RNAcentral lists this ribosomal RNA (497 nucleotides) under uncultured bacterium. RNAcentral's name for it is "partial 16S ribosomal RNA". It matches the Rfam family "Bacterial small subunit ribosomal RNA", at positions 28 to 507 of the family's 1533-position model. The record is from RNAcentral.
GAUGAACGCUGGCGGCGUGCCUAAUACAUGCAAGUCGAGCGAACGGACGAGAAGCUUGCUUCUCUGAUGUUAGCGGCGGACGGGUGAGUAACACGUGGAUAACCUACCUAUAAGACUGGGAUAACUUCGGGAAACCGGAGCUAAUACCGGAUAAUAUUUUGAACCGCAUGGUUCAAAAGUGAAAGACGGUCUUGCUGUCACUUAUAGAUGGAUCCGCGCUGCAUUAGCUAGUUGGUAAGGUAACGGCUUACCAAGGCAACGAUGCAUAGCCGACCUGAGAGGGUGAUCGGCCACACUGGAACUGAGACACGGUCCAGACUCCUACGGGAGGCAGCAGUAGGGAAUCUUCCGCAAUGGGCGAAAGCCUGACGGAGCGACGCCGCGUGAGUGAUGACGGUCUUCGGAUCGUAAAACUCUGUUAUUAGGGAAGAACAUAUGUGUAAGUAACUGUGCACAUCUUGACGGUACCUAAUCAGAAAGCCACGGCUAACUACGUG